CAGCCGCCGCGGGAAUACGAAGGGUGCAAGCGUUACUCGGAAUUACUGGGCGUAAAGCGUGCGUAGGUGGUGGUUUAAGUCCGUUGUGAAAGCCCUGGGCUCAACCUGGGGAUUGCAGUGGAUACUGGGUCACUAGAGUGUGGUAGAGGAUAGUGGAAUUUCCGGUGUAGCAGUGAAAUGCGUAGAGAUCGGAAGGAACAUCUGUGGCGAAGGCGACUAUCUGGGCCAACACUGACACUGAGGCACGAAAGCGUGGGGAGCAAACAGGAUUAGAUACCCCGGUAGUCCCUGUCUCUUAUAC
This 301-nucleotide ribosomal RNA is filed under the name uncultured bacterium. Its description in RNAcentral is "partial 16S ribosomal RNA". It matches the Rfam family "Bacterial small subunit ribosomal RNA", at positions 509 to 807 of the family's 1533-position model. The record is from RNAcentral.